AUUAAGUGGAGGAAAGGAUGGAUCCGCGGGAGGACUCGAUGGACCAAUCAACGAAGAUUCGGAUGUGCAGUUUGAUGAGACGAUCCCAUCUCCAUCUCAUCUUCUCGUGUCAAGGACGCCAUGGAAGAGGUUUCGCUUCUCUUCAUUCAUGAGCAGGAUCAGGAUCUUUCUUGAACAAACUUAAUUAUUGGCAUGCAGAUUCAUGAAUCAAUUUAAUUUUUGUUUGUGCUGUAGGCAGCGUCAUCCCAUCUCAUCUGCUUGUGUGAAGGACAGGGGCCCUGGAGGAGCUGCUCCCCUGCGGGUUCAGUGGCUGCUCCGACACUGACGGCAUGGAAGGUCCUCGCUUGCCCUUACCUCUCCCUGUUCGGUUCCGUUCAUGAGCAGAUUUAAUUUUUGGUAGAUUCACGAAUCAAUUUCCCACAAGUUGGAGCUUUAUGUGGUUGCGACUAGGGAUUAUUGUAAUGCUAUUCGCUUUCACUGGAUGGCCGUGUGAAUGAAAUUACAUGUGUUAGUCAAAUGAACAAAUUAGAUGACCCCCCAUGCCUACAAGCCUUCUUGGGUUAAAAUUAAAUGGUUUAUUGAUGUCUAGUUUUUGUAUGUUCUGGUUGGUUGUGAAACACAUGCGGUUUUUCUAGGCCGAUUCAGUUUUUUGGUUCUGUCUUGUUCUAGCCUUCUAGGUCGAUUCAGUUUUUCAUUUUCUCUCUUUAUGAUUUAAACACGAACUGCAGAUCCAGUAUCUGUUUGAUCAUCCAUGUGCCAUAUAUAUAUAUGGAGCUGUCUGUAGCAUUUGAUCACUACUACUACUAGUUGCAGCAACUAGUAGUGCCUUAACAAUGGGCUCUCUCUGGAAAACAAGUCUUCUUGAGGAGAAAUCUAACUGUACUAAGUACCAGUAGUAAGUAUCUUCUAUUUGCACCCCUAACAGCUUAGAUUGUUUUUUUUAACUUGUUAAAAUCGUGGAAGAUGUUUAGCAGCUGCUUCUCUUGGAAGCUGCUCUUUCUAAACAUAGUCAUGGAUAUGUAUGUACUUGCUUCAUAUACCAUACCUUUUCAGAAAUAUAUAUCAGCUGUUCUUGCAGUAUUUAAGAUGUUUGAAUGAGAAAUUACCAUUUUCGUGCCUCCAUUAAUUUUUUUCUCUGAAUAAACUGCUCUUUUGUUGCACGUGAAGGAAAGAAAUUGGUAAGAAUCUACAUAUCUACACGAGAACAUUUGUAGUUGAAGGACUUAGUCUGACCAUUUCUUUUCGCACUCGUUCAUUUCUUUUCUAUCUUGCACCUAUGCUUAAUAUGGUAUUGCUAUCUAUUCUGGAACUGCAAAUAUGUUUAUAUAAAGAUGUAUAUAAAUCAAGCAACACACGCAUUGUAGUUUGUUACUUCUUGGUUUUCUAACUUGUGUCAAAAACUUUCAGCAUGUUAUCAGAAUGGUAGCUUGUAUUGCUGCAGAGCCCAUUUCUAUCCUGGAAAGCAUGGAUUCUGAAGGAUAUGUAUAAUGGGACGUCAAACCUGAGAACUUUCAUCUCAGCCAGCCUGGAACUCCUGAAGAAAAGAAACCUUUUCUUGUAGAUCUUGGAUUAGAGGUGAUCGUUGUUGUGAUGAAGCUGCAGUGGUGGCGUAGGAAAUUUAGCUUAUUUUUUGAGGUCACCUAAUCUUCUACAACCUUGGCAAUGGCGGCUGCCUCUUCUUGGUUCAGAGGUGAUCGUUGUUGUGAUGAAGCUGCAGAGGUGGCAUAGGUUGACGGAACUUGGUAAGCUCAAGGGACACGUCGAAGUUGGUUUGUCAACUAGAAGGCGCUCGACAUCGAGACUGUCCAGCAGUUUGUACAUGGUGGGAUGAUAUGGGCUUACAUGACUGCCUCUUCAGCUACAACUACUUGGGAGUUUUAGCUUAUUCUUUGAGGCUGCCAUAUCUUCUACAACCUCGGCGAUGGCGCCACCUCUUCUUGGUUCAGUGAAUAUAGGAAUACGAUGGCUUGACUGAUUGUGACUUGCCACAGAGCUUAUUUUAACAGAGCAUCAUGGAAGAAGCUUGGUUUCAAGUUGCCAUGGAACUUUGCUCACUUGUUUCCCCAAAGUUGUUCUUCUUCAUUUGUGUUCUCCCCAAUGCUGCAGAGGUGGCGUAGGUUGAGGGAACUUGAUAAGCUCAAGGGACAUGUGGAAUUUGGUUUGCCAACUAGAAGGCGCUCGGCAUCGAGACGGUCCAGCAGUCCGUACACGGUGUGAUGAUCUGGGCUUCCAUGAAUGCAUCAGCUACAACUACUUGGAUGCGAUCGUUGUUGUGAUAGAGCUGCAGUGGUGGUGUAGGUUAUUCUUUGAGGUCUCCUAAUCUUCUACAACCUCGGCAGUGGUGGCUGCCUCUUCUUGGUUCAGGAGUGGAAGUCGCAGGCUGAGGGAAGGGAAGUUUAUACUCCACAUGGGAAGGAAAGGAGGUGACAGACCCAAGUGUUGUUUGCUUGCGCGGUAGUUGCAACAAACAUGCCCCAAGUGUUGUUCCUUCAAGACUUUUUGUUGCUGUGGACACAUGUGUUUGUUAUGGUUGGUUUAUGAUGAGUCACAACAAAAAACUUGGGUUGUUGAUGUGUCUGUGAAACAAUCAAUUUCUUUUUGUUUGUUUGUUUGUAUCGAACCCAAGGAAGGAGCAUAAUACUUUGAAGCUGCCGAUCGAAUUGGUGGUUUUGAGGGUGGUAUUAUAUAUUGAACUCACUCA
Triticum aestivum (bread wheat) is the source of this 2701-nucleotide long non-coding RNA. RefSeq lists it as uncharacterized. The record is from RefSeq and is a predicted model, not a curated record. NCBI's taxonomy places the organism in Eukaryota, Viridiplantae, Streptophyta, Magnoliopsida, Poales, Poaceae. The transcript is spliced from 15 exons.